AGUUUGAUCCUGGCUCAGGAUGAACGCUGGCGGCGUGCUUAACACAUGCAAGUCGAACGAUGAUCUCCAGCUUGCUGGGGGGAUUAGUGGCGAACGGGUGAGUAACACGUGAGUAACCUGCCCUUGACUCUGGGAUAAGCCUGGGAAACUGGGUCUAAUACCGGAUACGACCAUCUGGCGCAUGUCAUGGUGGUGGAAAGCUUUUGUGGUUUUGGAUGGACUCGCGGCCUAUCAGCUUGUUGGUGGGGUAAUGGCCUACCAAGGCGACGACGGGUAGCCGGCCUGAGAGGGUGACCGGCCACACUGGGACUGAGACACGGCCCAGACUCCUACGGGAGGCAGCAGUGGGGAAUAUUGCACAAUGGGCGCAAGCCUGAUGCAGCGACGCCGCGUGAGGGAUGACGGCCUUCGGGUUGUAAACCUCUUUCAGUAGGGAAGAAGCGUAAGUGACGGUACCUGCAGAAGAAGCGCCGGCUAACUACGUGCCAGCAGCCGCGGUAAUACGUAGGGCGCAAGCGUUAUCCGGAAUUAUUGGGCGUAAAGAGCUCGUAGGCGGUUUGUCGCGUCUGCUGUGAAAGACCGGGGCUCAACUCCGGUUCUGCAGUGGGUACGGGCAGACUAGAGUGAUGUAGGGGAGACUGGAAUUCCUGGUGUAGCGGUGAAAUGCGCAGAUAUCAGGAGGAACACCGAUGGCGAAGGCAGGUCUCUGGGCAUUAACUGACGCUGAGGAGCGAAAGCAUGGGGAGCGAACAGGAUUAGAUACCCUGGUAGUCCAUGCCGUAAACGUUGGGCACUAGGUGUGGGGGACAUUCCACGUUUUCCGCGCCGUAGCUAACGCAUUAAGUGCCCCGCCUGGGGAGUACGGCCGCAAGGCUAAAACUCAAAGGAAUUGACGG
This 896-nucleotide ribosomal RNA is filed under the name uncultured bacterium. RNAcentral's name for it is "bacterial SSU rRNA". It matches the Rfam family "Bacterial small subunit ribosomal RNA", at positions 10 to 916 of the family's 1533-position model. The record is from RNAcentral.